AUUGUAUCAUAUUCCAAAAAGCUUGCCUAGAAAUUAUAAAUGUCAUUCAACAUCAACAUCAUCAUUCAAUAAAACCAAUGAGAGGUACAACAGACUCGAAGAUAUUCUGAAAUUCUAAAACGACAUAGAAUACUUGUAGAGCUAGGAUUGAGAAAAAUUCCAAAUGGUUUAGAGAACAAUAGUAUUCCCUGAUUAUCAAAAGUUAAUUAAAAAUUUAAUAAAUUAAUGUAAAAUUUGUAAUAUUGCCAAAACAGAACAGGAAAUACUAAAAUUGCCCCACAAAUUCAAUAUAUAAGGUAAACAUUUGUUAUGGAUUUGUAUAUGGUAGGCAACCAACAGUUUUUAUCAUGUACACACAAAUAUUUCAAAUUUUCUACAUUAGUGUAACUAGCAGGUAGACAUUGGUUAGAAGCCAAAAGAACACUUAGUUCAAACACAAAUAAAAACUAGUAAGAACGGUAUUUCAGAUACAGAACGAUUCCACAAACAGUAAAUAAAAAGUUAAGAAUCAUAUAAAGUGAAUUAUAUAUGAAGAAAAGAUAUACAACAUUCAAACGGAUCCUUUAUACUUACAAUUAUAAAACCAAACAUAGUGAUACAUGCAUUUGUCAGUUACUAUUUUCAUUAUUUCUUUAUUAAACAAUGGGUUUAUAAACGAAAUAAUUAGACAAGAAAAUUUGAAUACAAUUCACUAAAAACUUAUAAAAAUUUCCAAAUUAUUUAUGUUGAACCUAAUAUGUUACUGACAUGCAACAUUCCAAAAUCAUUGCUAAAUCAAAAUUCCAAUAAUAAAGACAUUGCCAUUGUCGAGUUUAAUUGGAACCAUUGUCAUAUAUUCAAACAAAAGAAAUAAUUGAAUGACAUACACAAUUUAUAAUUUCAAAACAACUUUUGUAAUUAUUAUUUAAGCAUUUUAUUGUAUUAAUGGUAUAACGUGUAGAACAUGCCAAGAAAUAAAAAUAUGUAAAGCCAAAAGAAGAAACACCACAGAGAACAGAAGUUGUAAACGAUCACAUAGAAGAAAAUGUAAAUGUAAUGCCGAAAAUUAUCCUCCUGAAGACAGACCAAAUGUCCAUACACACAGUCACCCUCGAGACACCCAUUAAAAAAAUUAUAAAGUCACUCUCUAAGAAAUAAAAAUGCAAAUUCAAUUGUAAACAUGCCAAUGGAAUUUUACCAAGCAUAAACAAGCUAUAGGAAAAACUAAUCAAUUAGAACGAGCCUCUGUUCAGACUAUAGGCAGUUUCCACAAUACAGGAUACUCCGAUUUUGGAGCGUCGGUAGGAUCUCAAAAAAUCGUUAGAAGAAGUCACAUGUACUGAUCAAAAGAAGGAUAAUACUAUACAAAUAGUUUAUCCUGACAGAGUAAAAUCCAUAAACAACCAAAGAACAAUAAAAAGAGAUCCGCGAACGAAUCUAUGUCUAAAUCAAUUGCACAAAAAAAUUGGAAUAAAAUCAAAAUCAGUAAAUAAGCGCAUAAUUAAAAAAUUUAAGUGCCUAUAUUGAAAACAACAAUAAUUUUAAAAUCAAAAAUCCAAAUCGGUCAAUACGCACUUAAUCUGAAAUAUAUAUAUAUAUAGUUAUAUAGAUGUUUCUUUUAAAUCUUCAAUCACUACAAAGAAUAAGUUUUAAAAAAAAAAACAAAAAAAAAAGGCAAUUUAGGAUGUGAAUUUGCAUGUACGUCGCGGAUCAAAGAAUACAAAGUUUAACUUCGUGUUAAAAGAAAAACGCUAUAGUCGAGUGACCCGACUAUCAGAUACCCGUUACCCAUCUUAAGAGAGCAAAAGGAUAAUGAAGAUAUAUACCUACCGGCUAUUUCAUUAGAUGUUAUGUGGGCGGCAGACAGAUUUAAGCGUUUUGGCCUUUUGUGGUCGUUAGAGUGGGCGUGGCACCUUUUUUUUUAGUGAGUCGACAGGUAUUGUUGAGGCAAAUACAUUUCAGUUGAAAUUUUGUUUCUAUCAUAAAACUUCAGGCGCUACAUAUUUUCGCGGAUUAUGGGCGUUAGAGUUGGCGUGGCACCCAGCUGAAACAUACUUGUUCUGCGCAGGAACCCCAAAAAUCUGCAUUCCAAGUCCUACGGUUUUAGCUCUUAUAGUUUUUGAGAUCUCAGCGUUUAUACGAGAGAGAUUAUACAGGACGCCAAGAUGUAGCCCAUUAUUGUACGACUUGACACCAGGGUGAAUCCCUGCCAUAGUAGAAGUCUUGGAGACAAUGCAAUCAAGAAUACAUUUCGAUCGAAGAAGGAGCAUGAACAGCGGGGCUUCUCUCCCUAAAUGGGCAUCCUGUGCGCUUGCCGUAUUAUUUUUAUAAUUGACAAUUUACAAUUUUUAAUUAACUUAAAGGGCUUUUAAUAAAUAUGCACAAGGUGCAAAAGCGUAAAAGUAAAAUCAAUCUGUAUGAAUAUCGGUACAAUAUGAAUGAAUACCACUUUAAAAUGAAAGAACACCAUUUUGAUGUGGAAUCAAAUGAGUUCUUUAUUAAAAAAUAACAUAUUAAUUAAUAUGUGAAUAUAUCAAUCUGGAUCACGGCUUACUCGUCAAGGCUUGAAUCCAAGGGUUAGAAUUUCGCUAGAGUCGAGGCUACAAGUUAUUUUCCUAUGAAAGAGUUCGUUAAUAAUUUACAAGUAAAACGAGCGGACAUUCUCUGGCAUUGAUAAUUAACUUUAAAAUUCAGACGCAAUAGUCGUCUCGACUAAACUCCUUUAAAGCGAUUACUGAAUACAUGAUAUUAUCAUCGAACUCAGGCCAUUGUCCGGAAGCAACUGCAAUCUUUUUUGAUUGGUUCCAGAAUUAUAUCUUCUUAGCGGAUAGCUCCAACUUUGUUUGCGAUUUGCUAAGGGCCUACAGCCCCACAAAAAACUGUAUUUGGCUGGAUAGGUAAACUGUAAAGAAAAUUUGUCUACACGGUCUGUUACACAUACUACUUUAGCACCUAUGAAGCCUAUGAUCGAUUUGAAAGCUUGUGGCCCUAUUGACGAAAGUGAUCUGUACGAUUUCGACUAAGCAGAAAUUCGUUGAUUAUAACUAUUUUAAACUAAAUAAACAAGUAGCUGAUAUAGUGGAUGGCACACAUUGCGUGUGACAACGGGUCACAAACUAUAUGCCGAUAGGCAUGUCUUUACAUCAUUUGUACUAACCCCUGAGUAGCCCCGGGCUUAACCCGAACAUCUGUAAUUAUUUAUUAAGCCUAUAUUUCUGUUAACUGAUAAUAAAAAUAUUGUACAUUUUUACCUAUAGCAGAUUAAACUAAAGAUCUUUGUAACCCCAAAUCAUAUAUAUAAGCCCGAAUCCAUGCUCAAUAAAAAAUCAGAACGAAUACGGAGAUAUAAAUCAGCAACUUUAACUUUGCGUUCAACUAACACACAAGUUCUAAUCAACUAAGCGAUUUGAACUAGAUGAAUUGCUGUUUCUCUGAUCAAUCUGUUCAGAGCCAAUUUACAUAUAUAUACUCCAUCGGUGCGGGUGGAGGCACAUAAAAUCCAAUUACCACUUAAGCGGAUUAUAUAAGAAAGUAGAUAUCAGUUCUUGAAAGAACAAUUAACUGUAAGAAAACCAAUUCACAAUGUCUUCGGAAUAAUAAAGAGGGCUCCACCGACAUGAAGACUAAACCAGCCAACUACAGAGAAUAAUAGCAAACGUUAAUGUUAAAAUCCUCCUUAAUGUUAAAUCUUCAAAAUAACUCCGGAGAAAUUCAAAUAAUUAGUUUUCUAAUGGAUCCACUUUAGAACACGAUUAUUUCCCAAAUGAAUUAAUUUAGUCAUUUCAUUAAAUAUUUAUGAAUUCUAUGUUUGUUACAAUGCCUGAAUAGUAAAAAAUCACCAAGAAUUAGGCGCAUUUUAUCGCUCAGUAAGACAACUUUAGCCCAUCUCGUCGGCUGUGCGUACAAUCGGUGGGCCAUAACCCAUUUAGCGGUCCGUCCUACCCUACAUCUCAUCGUCGGAGCUCACCUAACCUCCAUUUCCUCGGCUAGGCUCCAGAAAUCGGUGCAUCCUAAAACACAUCAUAUACGAAGAGCACAUCAGCUGCGAUCCUAACCUCAAUUCGUCAGUACAACGACCCGCAUUUUAAAUUGAUUAUAAAGUUGCCUACGUAAAUACAUACAACCUUUAUUUCUAACACACAAAUGUUAUAAGUUACUUGGCUUUCAAUCAUCAACUGCUUAAGGGCUCAUACCCAAUACACAUACAAACACAUAUUUGGUCUAACUUGAUUCCUUGGUUUGUCUUCUUGUACUUUCUCUUGUCAUUUGUCUUCUGCCUUCACCAAACAUUUUUCCAAACUCUCUUUUCCCUCGUGACUACGCACAUUCUCCUCUCUGGCUUUUAUCCUGUGUACGACGCCGCACCGCACCAUGAUGAGCUUCACUUCAGCUUUUCUGUGCCGUUCAGUGAAAUUUUUUGUCGGACUUAGCUCAGGUUUGCUUUAUUUCGAUAUCGGAACGCUAUUUUCUUCCAGUGGGAUCUACCAGUAUCCAUCAUCAGGUCCAAACUGCGGAUGAUGAUGGGCAUUUGGUAUGCAUCUUUCAUAGACUUCACAUUGAUCUGCCAAAAGUCAACGCACAGUCUCCACUUAAAGCUUGAGUUUACCCCUAUGCCGAUUGUACCUUAGCAGCUAGCUUAGAUCCCUGGCCAUUUUCCGAUCGUUCGCAGCAGUUGACGCCCCUGACAUCCAUUUUGCCGCAGAAUAAAAGCCGUUGGGUUAGACAACCUUGGGCCGUGGUCCGUUCUCACCACAUUUCUAAAAGACCUUCUACAGGUCUGUGAUAUGGGUUGUAUCAUGUAGACUUUGUGUAGUGCUAGGAGUCUCCACAAGAUAUUGUUUGGCUAUCUCUGUUGCUGUUUGGGGUGGUGUCCAUGUUCCACGUGGAGCUUUGUUUGCCUGAUGCGGUUGGAGUUGGUGUGGUGGUGAACAUUGGUCCUUUCCUUUCUGCAAGCUUGAUCCAGCUCCACAGGAUACGCAGCUUACUCCAGCUUCACAGGAUACGCAGCCUGAUCCAGCUUUACAAGAUACCCAGUUUAUUCCGGCUUCACAGGAUACGCAGCUUACUUUAGCUUCACAGGAUACUAUGGCUCAUACAGAUUCACGGGAUACGCAGCUUACUCCAGCUUCACAGGAUACGCAGCUUAAUGCAGCUUCACAGGAUACCAUAACUUGAUCCAGCUUUACAAGAUACGCAGCUUACUCCAGCUUUACAGGAUACCAUAGCUCAUCCAGCUUCACAGGAUACGCAGGUUACUCCAAAUGAGCUACAAGGUCAGAUUCAACAGCUCAUAAAGGACUAUGGCAAGGAUUCUGCCGAACGACGCCAACGAGACGGUUAUUAUUCCAGUAAGCUAAACGAGUUAAGCGAUCUCUGUUCAAUGACUUAGAUGAAGAAGUCCAAUAAGCAACAUUACCUACUGCAGAUAAAUACGCCUUACGACUCACAACAUUAAAUGAGCUGGUAAAGAAUUAUAAGCAAUAUUCAAAAAAAAUACGGCGUCAGCGAGCCGACCUCAAAAGAUACCUUGGCGGAUCCUCAACAAUCCGAAGGACUCUUUAAUCAAGCAAACAGUUUUACAACGCCUCUUGUGGGUCUAAUGGGGCUUAUUGAUCUCGAUAGUACUCCUGGUAUUCAGAUAUUAUAUAAAGAAGAUAAUAUGACCUUGCCUCGAGGAAACGACUCUCUGAUGAACCUAAAUCUGUCUCUACCACCAAUCAGUAUUCCCGAGUUUGAUCACGAAUACCUAGAUUGGCCCCAUUUUCACGAUUUGUUUGUGCAUAAUAAAGCAUACUCAGCCAGCCAGAAGCUGGAUAUUCUAUAAGGUUUACUCUGCGGUGAAGCAAGAAAUAUUUUGACUGAGCAAUCUAGUGGCAGGCGCAGUAACCAUCGCAGGCUGCGACAACCCUAGAGGAAAGGUUCUGCUCGCGACCGCCAAGGUAUAAUUAGAAGAUCCUACUGGUCAACUUAAAAUAUGUCCCGCUGUAAUAGAUUCCGGGUCAUAAGUGAAUCUUAUCUCAAGGAGGAUGGCAGAGCUGCUAUCUCUUAAGGAAAUGUCGUUACCGAUUGAAAUAUCUGGAAUUGGAAGAAAAAUAACAACAGCGACCAAGUCAAUACUAAAGCUAUGGUCGUGUACCUCAGAUUUUAAAACCCCAGUCUAGGUAUUUAUUAUUUUCACAGUCAUUUCAGAUCAACCAUCGUUACCAAUUGCACACGAUCUUGUGCGAGAGAGAUUGUCUUUAGCAGAUCCUGACUUUCGGCAACCUGGACCCAUUUAUCUCACCUUAGGGGUUGACCCGUAUUCUCGUUGAAUAAAUGAAGGAUCUCAUAACACAGACGUGCCAAAUGAUCAAUUUCUGCGAGGGCACAAUUUCAGUCCCCACGGCAGGGAAGUUGCUAGCAUAAAAGGGAGCGUCAAGCAGCAUCAAGAAGGUUUGGGGGAUGUUAAUCAUACUCAGGAUUUUGCGCAGUCUAAAGAGGGCUCACUGACAAUCAAUAAUUUGUUGGCUGCUUUCUAUGGAUUUCUGUCAAGGGCUGAAAGACAUCACGCCUUAAUUGAGGGUAGUCCAACGAGAAUCGUAAUGGAAACCAAAAUUUAAAAAUUGAAUAAAAACCACAAAAGCUAUCCCAAAGAUACCUUCAGAAGUCCAGUGCAGACUGAAAAGGACGCCAAGAUGUUUCCCAUAUUGUGGGACUUGCCAGCAGGACGAGUCGUUAACGAAGAGUUUCCCAUUGGGGAGACACUGGACUCCACUCCAGAACGAGACGCUGGCUUCUAUGGGAUCGAGGAAAAAAGUCCGCCGCUAAGAGACAGCUGUCCAUUGCCAGGAUGCUGGUCGCCUUCCUGCAUAGAAAUUCGUUCCCAUCCCGGCUCUGACAGCCCCAUGGCACAUAUUGGCAAAUUGGGAACAGCAUUGCAGUGCUUAGUUCGCGGAGAAAAAAGCAUCCGCGAAACUAGAAGGAAGCCUUAAAAUAAUUUUUUAGGAAAAAUAAAAAAAUUCCCUUGAACAUUUAAUUUAAGUUUUUUAUUUUGUGCCCCAAAAGAUAAGUCUUCUUUAAAUUGCUCCAAUUUUCGGGGGGCUAUGUAAAACCGUACUACAUGCAUAGCGGGUAAUCUUUUAAAUCUUCAAUCACUACAAAGAAUAAGUUUUUAAAAAAAAACAAAAAAAAAAGGCAAUUUAGGAUGUGAAUUUGCAUGUACGUCGCGGAUCAAAGAAUACAAAGUUUAACUUCGUGUUAAAAGAAAAACGCUAUAGUCGAGUGACCCGACUAUCAGAUACCCGUUACCCAGCUUAAGGGAGCAAAAGGAUAAUGAAGAUAUGUACCUACCGGCUAUUUCACUAGAUGUUAUGUGGGCGGCAGACAGAUUUAAGCGUUUUGGCCAUUUGUGGGCGUUAGAGUGGGCGUGGCACACCGCU
This is a long non-coding RNA of Drosophila biarmipes, 7397 nucleotides long. RefSeq lists it as uncharacterized. The transcript has 3 exons. Lineage: Eukaryota; Metazoa; Arthropoda; Insecta; Diptera; Drosophilidae. The record is from RefSeq and is a predicted model, not a curated record.